RNAcentral lists this transfer RNA (87 nucleotides) under marine eukaryotic metagenome. It matches the Rfam family "tRNA". Rfam says of the family: Transfer RNA (tRNA) molecules are approximately 80 nucleotides in length. Their secondary structure includes four short double-helical elements and three loops (D, anti-codon, and T loops). The record is from RNAcentral.
GAGAGAUGGCUGAGCGGUCGAAAGCGGCGGUCUUGAAAACCGUUGAAGGGGGCGACCUCUUCCCAGGGUUCGAAUCCCUGUCUCUCC